GUUGAUCCUGCCAGAGGCCGCUGCUAUCCGGCUGGGACUAAGCCAUGCUAGUCUAGGGGCUUGUACCCCUUCGGGGGUGCAAGCACCGGCGGACGGCUCAGUAACACGUGGACAACCUGCCCUCGGGUGGGGGAUAACCCCGGGAAACUGGGGCUAAUCCCCCAUAGGUGAUGGGUGCUGGAAUGCCCCAUCUCCGAAAGCGCUCAGCGCCCGAGGAUGGGUCUGCGGCGGAUUAGGUAGUUGGUGGGGUAACGGCCCACCAAGCCUAAGAUCCGUACGGGCUGUGGGAGCAGGAGCCCGGAGAUGGACCCUGAGACAAGGGUCCAGGCCCUACGGGGCGCAGCAGGCGCGAAACCUCCGCAAUGCGGGAAACCGCGACGGGGUUAGCCGGAGUGCCCGUGCAUUGCACGGGCUGUCGGGGUGCCUAAACAGCACCCCAUAGCAAGGGCCGGGCAAGGCCGGUGGCAGCCGCCGCGGUAAGACCGGCGGCCCGAGUGGCGGCCACUCUUAUUGGGCCUAAAGCGUCCGUAGCCGGCCCAGUAAGUCCCCCGGGAAAUCUGGUCGCUUAACGAUCAGACUUCCGGGGGAUACUGCUGGGCUAGGGACCGGGAGAGGCCGAGGGUAUUCCCGGGGUAGGGGUGAAAU
Molecule: ribosomal RNA, 645 nt
Filed under: uncultured archaeon
Lineage: Archaea
Description: bacterial SSU rRNA
Rfam family: Archaeal small subunit ribosomal RNA
Source: RNAcentral